GUGUCACAGACAGAAGUUUCCUCACGAAAUCAAAAGUGUUUGUAUAAGUGGUUUAAAGUGAUCGGAACUGAUCCUCGGUAUCCUCGCGAAAUCAAAUUCAACGAAUCACAGCGCACGCUGUUAUUAAUUUUUACCAGUGAAAAUCGCGAAACUGAGAGACUUCGACCGUUUAUCUAGUCAUAGAUGUGAAUGUCAGCUGAACAGGGCGAGAUACAAUGGCGAUAAGAUAAACUGUGGCAGAUAAGCUGAUUUCAUCGCCGGCCGAAGAAGUGUCGCGGUUAUACCGAAGCAAGGAGAGGUGGAGCGGCAGCCGGCUUGAGAUGAGCAAACAGAAAAAUAUGCGAUUAUCCUGCGACGUGGUUCAGGGUGGAACUACCUGUUGAUGUCACGUUAUGGGGUGGUGCUUCCUCGCCGGAGUUCUGCUGCUCUCCAUAUGCGUGGUGGGACUGCCAUUGCCCCAGGUCGGCGGAGCCGCAGGUGCCCACGGGCAGCCGC
Molecule: long non-coding RNA, 495 nt
Filed under: Neodiprion lecontei (redheaded pine sawfly)
Lineage: Eukaryota; Metazoa; Arthropoda; Insecta; Hymenoptera; Diprionidae
Description: uncharacterized LOC124294435
Source: RNAcentral